AGUUUUUGAUAAACAAAAAUUCAGAAACUUUUGAUGUAAUAAGAAAUUAAAAUUUUUGUUAAUUAUUAUUGCAGAAAUUUGCUGACGAAUUUUUUACAGAGAGUUCUUGUUAGCUAUGUAUUAUUGGACUAAAAUAGAUCCAACUUCCUGUUCCGUGACAAUAGGCUCAGCAAACUAAUAAGUUGAGUUGGAUGAGUCUAAUAAGUUGAGUGGAGGUGUGGUCCAUAAAAAACCUAACGGCAAGAGGCUCAACAAUAGACCCAAUGUUUAGAUAGCUUGAGUCUGGUCGAAACCCCCAAGCACUGUGACUGAGCCUUUAUAUGCGAUGGGUGUGCCCUUCCUAUCAGCAUGUAUUUUUGAGAUA
This 364-nucleotide long non-coding RNA is filed under the name Ananas comosus (pineapple). Its description in RNAcentral is "long non-coding RNA (ACOM_LNC027015)". The record is from RNAcentral. Lineage: Eukaryota; Viridiplantae; Streptophyta; Magnoliopsida; Poales; Bromeliaceae.